CUGAACUUAGCCCAAACCCUAACAAAUACAAGUAUACACAUGCACCUAAAACAAAACAUUUACAACAUCAUCAAAGUAUAGGAGAUAGAAAUUUUAAUUGGCGCUAUAGAGAAAGUACCGCAAGGGAACAAUGAAAGACGAUACUAAAGCAACAAACAGCAAAGAUUACCCCUUGUACCUUUUGCAUAAUGAUUUAACUAGACUAAAUUAGCAAAGAGAACUUAAGUUAAUCUCCCCGAAACCAGACGAGCUAUCCACAAGCAGCCCGCAGAGCACACUCAUCUAUGUGGCAAAAUAGUGAGAAGACUUAUGGAUAGAGGUGACAAGCCUAACGAGCCUGGUGAUAGCUGGUUGUCCAGAAAAGAACUUCAGUUCGAAUUUAAGCCUACCUACAAAAUCUCAUAAUUCCACUGUAGACUUAAAGAAUAAUCUAAAGGGGGACAGCCCUUUAGACACAGGCUUACAACCUUAACUAGAGAGUAAGUACACUAAAUAGACCAUAGUUGGCCUAAAAGCAGCCAUCAAUAAAGAAAGCGUUCAAGCUCGACAACUAUAUCCCCACUAAUUCCAAUAUCUAUUAACCAACUCCUAGUGUAAAUACUGGACUACUCUAUGACUACAUAGAAGAAAUACUGUUAAUAUGAGUAACAAGAAACUAUUUCUCCCAGCAUAAGUGUAUAUCAGAACGAAUACUCACUGAUAGUUAACGCAAAUAAAGUAAACCAAAUAACAAGCCCUUUAUCACCCCACCGUUAACCCAACACAGGACUGCUUUACAGGGAAAGAUUAAAAGGAGUAAAAGGAACUCGGCAAACACAAACCCCGCCUGUUUACCAAAAACAUCACCUCUAGCAUUCCUAGUAUUAGAGGCACUGCCUGCCCAGUGACACACGUUCAACGGCCGCGGUAUUCUGACCGUGCAAAGGUAGCAUAAUCACUUGUUCCUUAAAUAGGGACUUGUAUGAAUGGCCACACGAGGGUUUUACUGUCUCUUACUCCCAAUCAGUGAAAUUGACCUUCCCGUGAAGAGGCGGGAAUACCACAAUAAGACGAGAAGACCCUAUGGAGCUUCAAUUAAUUAACCUAAGAAUAAAGCAUACAACCCAAAAGGACCAAAAUAAUUUCACAUAGGUUAACAAUUUAGGUUGGGGUGACCUCGGAGUACAAAAGACCCUCCGAGUGACUUUAAGCCUAGACCCACUAGUCAAAGCCACAACACUUAUUGAUCCAAACUUAUUUGAUCAACGGAACAAGUUACCCUAGGGAUAACAGCGCAAUCCUAUUCAAGAGUCCCUAUCGACAAUAGGGUUUACGACCUCGAUGUUGGAUCAGGACAUCCCGAUGGUGCAGCAGCUAUCAAAGGUUCGUUUGUUCAACGAUUAAAGUCCUACGUGAUCUGAGUUCAGACCGGAGCAAUCCAGGUCGGUUUCUAUCUAUUAUAUGUCUCUCCCAGUACGAAAGGACAAGAGAGACGGGGCCACCUUACAAAUAAGCGCCCCCCCACCCAACAGAUGAUACAAUCUUAAUCUGACAUGUUAUAAAAAUUCCUCCCCUAGAACAGGGCU
RNAcentral lists this ribosomal RNA (1565 nucleotides) under Lonchorhina orinocensis (Orinoco sword-nosed bat). RNAcentral describes it as "partial 16S ribosomal RNA". It matches the Rfam family "Bacterial large subunit ribosomal RNA", at positions 379 to 2829 of the family's 2925-position model. Lineage: Eukaryota; Metazoa; Chordata; Mammalia; Chiroptera; Phyllostomidae. The record is from RNAcentral.